This is a long non-coding RNA of Aricia agestis (brown argus), 73 nucleotides long. RefSeq lists it as uncharacterized. The record is from RefSeq and is a predicted model, not a curated record. NCBI's taxonomy places the organism in Eukaryota, Metazoa, Arthropoda, Insecta, Lepidoptera, Lycaenidae. The transcript has 3 exons.
UUUUUAAUUCCGGACAUAAAUAAGAAUAAAACUUGAGAAGUGUCAAAGGACACCCGAAUGGAACGAAGUUAUU